Molecule: ribosomal RNA, 448 nt
Filed under: uncultured bacterium
Lineage: Bacteria
Description: bacterial SSU rRNA
Rfam family: Bacterial small subunit ribosomal RNA
Source: RNAcentral
GAGCGGCAGCGCGGGGGCAACCCUGGCGGCGAGCGGCGCACGGGUGAGUAAUGCAUCGGAACGUGUCCUCUUGUGGGGGAUAACCAGUCGAAAGACUGGCUAAUACCGCAUGAGCACGAGAGUGGAAAGCGGGGGACCGUAAGGCCUCGCGCGAGAGGAGCGGCCGAUGCCGGAUUAGCUAGUUGGCGGGGUAAUGGCCCACCAAGGCGACGAUCCGUAGCUGGUCUGAGAGGACGACCAGCCACACUGGGACUGAGACACGGCCCAGACUCCUACGGGAGGCAGCAGUGGGGAAUUUUGGACAAUGGGGGCAACCCUGAUCCAGCCAUGCCGCGUGUGUGAAGAAGGCCUUCGGGUUGUAAAGCACUUUCGGACGGAACGAAAUCGCACGGGCGAACAUCCCGUGUGGAUGACGGUACCGUAAGAAGAAGCACCGGCUAACUACGUG